CUUGUAUAUCUGUUAUGCUUUUCUGAAACAUUUUUGCCUUGUACAAAUCUAAGCUAACAUCUAAAGAAAUAAUGAUACAGAAUGUACAUCCCAUUAGAAUCUAUACACAAAAUCCUGUUAAAGAUUUUCGAGACCUCCACAGGCUUCUCUAAAAAGGCCAUUACGAGGCUGUCUUUCCUCCGAUUUCAACAAGGGGAAAAAUUGGCCAUUUCAACCUGAAUUUACUGGAACACCAAAAAAAAGACACUCGUCUUAACCUAGGAAAAUCGGCGCAACAGCUUCUUUAGACUUAGCAAUCUUAGCUGCUUCAGCUAUUCUAAGUGCCAUCAUUGCUUUGUAAGUUGCUAGAUCAGCGUUCUCCAUCAGCUGCUGCGCCUUCUGUCUCAUCCGAACUGCCAAAUCCUCCGACUUGUUUGCAGCAGCUUUUGCUUCUUUCACCUUCAGUACUGCAUUUUGUUGCUGUACAGCAUCUUU
RNAcentral lists this unclassified non-coding RNA (474 nucleotides) under Hevea brasiliensis (rubber tree). The record is from RNAcentral. Lineage: Eukaryota; Viridiplantae; Streptophyta; Magnoliopsida; Malpighiales; Euphorbiaceae.